Molecule: long non-coding RNA, 568 nt
Organism: Coregonus clupeaformis (lake whitefish)
Lineage: Eukaryota; Metazoa; Chordata; Actinopteri; Salmoniformes; Salmonidae
Exons: 2
Source: RefSeq, a predicted model, not a curated record
UUGAGGUGGACCUGUCCCAUGUGUACUUGGCCUACACAGAGGAGAGUAUGAGACAGUCACUGAUGAAGCUGGAGAGGCCCAGGACCUCCAAGAGUGGUAGGCCCAAGACUGGACGAAGGAAAAGAUCAUCGAAGCCCGAGGCUGUGAUGGAAUCCCUGCUGCAGUGAAAGAGACCGGGAGAGAGCCAAUCAGGGCUGGAGCCCCAUGGACUGCAAUGAAUCUACACUACUAUACCUUAGGAUCAACAACAGCAGUCAGUCAAUAGUCGAGCCUGAAGAUCUUUAUUGUUGAACGUUGUUAUUUAAAAAGAUUUUAUCUUAAUACACUGUAUAGCCGAGUAAGGUUUUAAAUGUGAAUGGAGAGGAGACGUUGGUUGAUGAAUUGGUUGGUUGGUCGGUGAAGGAGGGACCAUGCAGCAGCCACUGUACUGCAGGAUGUAAGCUGCUUCCCAAAUGGCACCCUAUAGGGAGGGAAUAGGGGUGCCAUUUGGGCCUGGCCCUUAAACUGGGGGUUAAUGGUCAAGUCAAGGGGACCUUGUAUUGUAAUAAACGGAGGCUUGUUGAGGAUA